UACGUAGGGUGCGAGCGUUAAUCGGAAUUACUGGGCGUAAAGCGUGCGCAGGCGGUUUUGUAAGCCAGAUGUGAAAUCCCCGGGCUUAACCUGGGAAUGGCAUUUGGGACUGCAAGGCUUGAGUGCGGCAGAGGAGACUGGAAUUCCUGGUGUAGCAGUGAAAUGCGUAGAUAUCAGGAGGAAUACCGAUGGCGAAGGCGGCAUCCUGGACCAAUAUUGACGCUGAGGAGCGAAAGCUAGGGGAGCAAACGGG
Molecule: ribosomal RNA, 253 nt
Filed under: uncultured bacterium
Lineage: Bacteria
Description: partial 16S ribosomal RNA
Rfam family: Bacterial small subunit ribosomal RNA
Source: RNAcentral